This is a long non-coding RNA of Daphnia carinata, 986 nucleotides long. RefSeq lists it as uncharacterized. The transcript has 6 exons. The record is from RefSeq and is a predicted model, not a curated record. NCBI's taxonomy places the organism in Eukaryota, Metazoa, Arthropoda, Branchiopoda, Diplostraca, Daphniidae.
UCUCCAAUGUAACUGUAAUUUGAGUACCUGAUCAUGUUAAAUUAAGAAGAAACUUGUUGCUGUUCAAAUAUUCAAAAAUUUCUUUUUAUCUUUCGCUUCUUUGCAAUCACGAGGGCAAUCUGGGACUGAAGAGGACACUGGACAAAGAAGAUCACCAUUGCAGCCACUGGAAUGUCACCCUGGGUUUUGAGGACUAUAUUACUGAAGAGGACCGUUGAACAGCUAGGGUCACUGCCAAGCUCCUAGCCCAAAAUUGCAAGGAGGGCUAGCAACAUCACCAAGGAGUAUUACUGGACCUCGGGAUUGCUGGUGAAGUUGCCAAAGAUUGUCAAGUAUUACCUUAACAAUCAAAUUUAUCGCCAAGGUGGCCAACGAUAUUAACGAAGAUGUAUCCCUGGACAACGAGGGUCGUCGCCAGUCACCAAGAUCAUAGCCAAGCAUUUGUCAGGUGUUAACCUUAAACAUUUAAAUGCCUAAACAUAUUUGCUUUUUGUCAUUUUAGGAGGGUCAUUAGCACCACCAAGGAAGAACAUGGCCGCUGGGCGUACCAUUAUUUACUGCCAGUGUCUUCAAGAUGGACCCACGACACGAGCGAGGGGAUACUAAACAACGUGUGUGUGCCACCAAAAUAAUCGCCAAGACUUGUAAGGUGAUAACCUUUAAAUAUUUAGUAUAUAACCGUGUGGUUUUGUGUGUAUUUAAGAGGACUGACAGCACAAUUGAGGGAGAUUGCUGUACUCCGAGGAUCGUUGAUGGGCCUAUCGGAAUUAUCGUCAACGACGUCAAGUCAUUCAUUUCGAAAUCUUUAUUUGUGUCUGUACUGCCACUACACUCGAAGAGGACCACUGGAUAACGAGGGGAAUUAAGUAAAGUUUACUUACCAGAAUGUUACGAGACGACUACAGAGGAGAGAUAUCUGUUAUUGUGGAUGUUCAACCUGGUACUUCAAGCCCACAAGAAGGAUGGUAAAUAGCUGAUGAAACGUG